RNAcentral lists this ribosomal RNA (253 nucleotides) under uncultured bacterium. RNAcentral's name for it is "partial 16S ribosomal RNA". It matches the Rfam family "Bacterial small subunit ribosomal RNA", at positions 524 to 776 of the family's 1533-position model. The record is from RNAcentral.
GACGUAGGAGGCGAGCGUUGUCCGGAUUUAUUGGGCGUAAAGAGCGUGUAGGCGGCCAGACAGGUCCGUUGUGAAAACUCGAGGCUCAACCUCGAGAUGUCGAUGGAAACCGUCUGGCUAGAGUCCGGAAGAGGAGUGUGGAAUUCCUGGUGUAGCGGUGAAAUGCGCAGAUAUCAGGAAGAACACCUAUGGCGAAGGCAGCACUCUGGGACGGUACUGACGCUGAGACGCGAAAGCGUGGGGAGCGAACAGG